Oryzias melastigma (Indian medaka) is the source of this 2012-nucleotide long non-coding RNA. RefSeq lists it as uncharacterized. The record is from RefSeq and is a predicted model, not a curated record. The transcript is spliced from 2 exons. NCBI's taxonomy places the organism in Eukaryota, Metazoa, Chordata, Actinopteri, Beloniformes, Adrianichthyidae.
CAAGGUUCAUGUUUAUAGUAGUUUUAAAUCAGUUUUUGUUCAUUAUUUGAUUUUUCCUGAGGACCUUGAACGCCACGCCAUCCCAUAAUAGUUCAUCUGACAUCCCAUAAUAUUGUUUCUCAUGGGAGGGGUGCACGGACCCCACCUUUUAACCAAUCAUCUUUAUCAGAUCAGCACCUGUUCUUUUCAGUCGUCAGUCAGCCUUCUUCGAAGACACAAGCUGUGUCCCCAUCCUGGGUUUUUCUUUUCUACUUUUCCUCUCAUUUCAUAGUCAUGCGUCCAUGAGAAUAAACCAUGACUAAAGCCACAUGACUAAAGCUACAUGACUCAUAACUAAUAUGGAACCCUGGAACUUCCAAUAAAUGAGUGGCAUGAAUGUGAUCCGUCUCAUCAUUUGUUCUGGCCGGACAACCUGAGGAGACUGAGAAUUUAAAUCAGCACAUACGUUACAGUCUUCUGAGGUCACAAGUUUGGAGCUUUAUUCGCCAACACCUCUUUCACAAUCAGUGUAAGGGUAUGAGUGCAUGUGUUCACAUAGAAUAUAAUGGCACGUUGGUGUAUAUUGUAUCUGUUGAGUCCUUCUUUGGCCCUUAAAGCAAACUGUCUCAUUUGUGGCUUUUGCAAACAAACAGAUGUAAUAUCUGAGCUGCUGACUCCGCCACUAAUUGGCAACAGAGAGGCUGUCACUGAAAGGAAGAGGAUGACCGAAGCCAUGUCAUCUCAUUAGAAAGAGUAAGUGAGGGAAAAAAACUGCGUAAAGUAGGUGAGAGCUGAAUGAAAGCAAGAGACUAAAGUCACAAGUGUUUCCGGUGCUGGACUCUGCUUUGCAAACAAGAAAGCUGCAAUAUUCUGCAUAUAAGAGGCCUCUUAAAUGGUCUCAAAUGCAAAGAUUUGCACACUUCCAUGUCAAACACGAAUAUAAAUAAAAACAAAAAUGCAUUUGUGAUUCAGUCAAAAUUAUAAUAAAUGUUGAUUUUGAUUAGAUUUGUUCAUGCAGUUCCCCGCAAUAUACAGAACGUCCAAAUUAUUGACACUAUAACUUAUGUAAGAGCUGUCGUGAACAAAGCUGCAUCAUUAAUUUUAUUAUUUGAAAUAACAGUUUUAAAUGUUCUAUUUUUACAUUUAGUGGUUUAAUUACAAAGAACAACAAAAUCCAUUCUCCCUCUAUAGAAAUUUGCAAGAUAAAUGUCUGCCUUUGUGUGUGUGUGUCUGUCAUUGUAUCAUUAGGUUGAAACAUGGCUUGCGGCCCCCCUUUGAGGAAAGAAAGAAGGCAAAAGGGAGUGACAGGAGAAGGGAUGGAAGAUGACAGAAAGAGGAUGAUUAAAAAAAGAGGAGAAUAAAGGGAAGGGAAAACUGCAGUGGAUGACAGCCAGGGAGUCAUGCAGACAAGGUGCAGGAAAGAGAGGUGCAAAGAAGUUUAAAAUAGACUGGGAAACAAAAAAAAAACAAGAUUUGAGUGGCAAAAAAUAAAUGAAACACAAAUAGAAAAGGAAGGAAAGGUACAUUUAUGUUUUUAACCUUUUUCUUGCUUGAUAAUAGAAUUUGUUUAUUUUUGCUUUAAAUUUUAGAGGCCGUUUGAUUGUUUUAAAGAAUCCAAAAAAUAUUAGAUCAGUUUAAUAUUUUACACUAAACCACUUUUUUUAAACAUCUCUUUUUUUUAACAGAGUAGCCUUUAUAUAACAUAGCAGGCAAUGUUGUAUUCUCGAUAAAUUAUUGAGGAAUACAUGCAACACAAACCCAAACCACCUUCAGCUGUCAUUGAAGAUGAAGAAUAAAAAAAAAUAAAAAUAAAAAUCUAUGCAUGCUAGUUUAGCCAUUGUGUAUGCAAAAUAGAAACAUUUCCUGUUGUUAGUGUCAUUAUCUAUCACUGAUUUGAAGCCGAGAGGAUGAUGCUCUGUCAGUGGUCGCGGAGGGGUUGAUGAGUCACUGUCAUCUCUUUCACACACAGCAACACUCUACAUCUGUCAUGCUGAGAAAAAACAAGGAUAAAUAAAAACAAAGAAAUAAAAAAA